UGGGGGAUAUUGCACAAUGGGCGAAAGCCUGAUGCAGCGACGCCGCGUGGGGGAUGAAGGCCUUCGGGUUGUAAACUUCUCUUGCUCUGAACAAGGCGCACCAUGGGGUGUGUUGAGUGUAGGGGUUGAUUAGCGCCGGCUAACUACGUGCCAGCAGCCGCGGUAAUACGUAGGGCGCGAGCGGUGUCCGGAAUUAUUGGGCGUAAAGGGCUUGUAGGUGGCUGGUUGCGUCUGUCGUGAAAGCUCAUGGCUUAACUGUGGGUUUGCGGUGGGUACGGGCUGGCUUGAGUGCAGUAGGGGAGGCUGGAAUUCCUGGUGUAGCGGUGGAGUGCGCAGAUAUCAGGAGGAGUACCGGUGGCGAAGGCGGGUCUCUGGGCUGUUACUGACACUGAGGAGCGAAAGCAUGGGGAGCGAACAGG
RNAcentral lists this ribosomal RNA (419 nucleotides) under bacterium. RNAcentral's name for it is "partial 16S ribosomal RNA". It matches the Rfam family "Bacterial small subunit ribosomal RNA", at positions 355 to 776 of the family's 1533-position model. The record is from RNAcentral.